CUAUCUUCACUAUAUGGCAGUUUUAAACCUAGAAGGGUACAGAAAAAAUUAUCAAUGUCCUUGUGCUAGAAUGACACAGAUAUUUUUGAAGCAUUCCUAUUAUUU
Suricata suricatta (meerkat) is the source of this 105-nucleotide small nuclear RNA. The record is from Ensembl. NCBI's taxonomy places the organism in Eukaryota, Metazoa, Chordata, Mammalia, Carnivora, Herpestidae.